RNAcentral lists this unclassified non-coding RNA (421 nucleotides) under soil metagenome. RNAcentral describes it as "partial contains 5.8S ribosomal RNA, internal transcribed spacer 2, and large subunit ribosomal RNA". The stretch from base 1 to 120 matches the Rfam family "5.8S ribosomal RNA", at positions 35 to 154 of the family's 154-position model. The record is from RNAcentral.
GAUGAAGAACGUAGCGAAAUGCGAUACGUAAUGUGAAUUGCAGAAUUCAGUGAAUCAUCGAAUCUUUGAACGCAUAUUGCGCUCUUUGGUAUUCCGAAGAGCAUGCUUGUUUGAGUAUCAGUAAACACCUCAACCUCUUCUUGAUUUUUCAAAAGGAGGGUGGACUUGAGCUAUCCCAACAACCUUUACCGGUCGGCGGGCGGCUUGAAAUGCAGGUGCAGCUGGACUUUUAUCUGAGCUAAAAGCAUAUCUAUUUAGUCCUCGUCAAACAGGAUUAUUACUUUUGCUGCAGCUAACAUAAAGGAUAAUUAUCCUCUUUGCUGACUGAUGCAGGAUUUUACGACACUUUAUGUGUUGUUCAACUCGAUCUCAAAUCAAGUAAGACUACCCGCUGAACUUAAGCAUAUCAAUAAGCGGAGGA